GCCCAGAUGGCGGAAUUGGUAGACGCGUUGGUCUCAAACACCAAUGGGGAGACCCGUGCCGGUUCGACCCCGGCUCUGGGUACAA
Molecule: transfer RNA, 85 nt
Filed under: Flavobacteriales bacterium
Lineage: Bacteria; Pseudomonadati; Bacteroidota; Flavobacteriia; Flavobacteriales
Description: tRNA-Leu
Rfam family: tRNA
About the family: Transfer RNA (tRNA) molecules are approximately 80 nucleotides in length.
Source: RNAcentral